This 482-nucleotide ribosomal RNA is filed under the name uncultured bacterium. Its description in RNAcentral is "partial 16S ribosomal RNA". It matches the Rfam family "Bacterial small subunit ribosomal RNA", at positions 30 to 507 of the family's 1533-position model. The record is from RNAcentral.
AUUGAACGCUGGCGGCAUGCUUUACACAUGCAAGUCGAACGGUAACAGGCCGCAAGGUGCUGACGAGUGGCGAACGGGUGAGUAAUGCAUCGGAACGUGCCCAGUCGUGGGGGAUAACUACUCGAAAGAGUAGCUAAUACCGCAUACGAUCUAUGGAUGAAAGCGGGGGACUGUAAGGCCUCGCGCGAUUGGAGCGGCCGAUGUCAGAUUAGGUAGUUGGUGGGGUAAAGGCUCACCAAGCCAACGAUCUGUAGCUGGUCUGAGAGGACGACCAGCCACACUGGGACUGAGACACGGCCCAGACUCCUACGGGAGGCAGCAGUGGGGAAUUUUGGACAAUGGGCGCAAGCCUGAUCCAGCAAUGCCGCGUGCAGGAAGAAGGCCUUCGGGUUGUAAACUGCUUUUGUACGGAACGAAACGGCUCUGGUUAAUACCCGGGGCUAAUGACGGUACCGUAAGAAUAAGCACCGGCUAACUACGUG